AUUGAACGCUGGCGGCAGGCUUAACACAUGCAAGUCGAGCGGGGGAAGGUAGCUUGCUACCGGACCUAGCGGCGGACGGGUGAGUAAUGCUUAGGAAUCUGCCUAUUAGUGGGGGACAACAUCUCGAAAGGGAGGCUAAUACCGCAUACGUCCUACGGGAGAAAGCAGGGGAUCUUCGGACCUUGCGCUAAUAGAUGAGCCUAAGUCGGAUUAGCUAGUUGGUGGGGUAAAGGCCUACCAAGGCGACGAUCUGUAGCGGGUCUGAGAGGAUGAUCCGCCACACUGGGACUGCGACACGGCCCGGACUCCUACGGGAGGCAGCAGUGGGGAAUAUUGGACAAUGGGGGGAACCCUGAUCCAGCCAUGCCGCGUGUGUGAAGAAGGCCUUAUGGUUGUAAAGCACUUUAAGCGAGGAGGAGGCUACUCUAGUUAAUACCUAGGGAUAGUGGACGUUACUCGCAGAAUAAGCACCGGCUAACUCUGUGCCAGCAGCCGCAGUAA
Molecule: ribosomal RNA, 501 nt
Filed under: uncultured bacterium
Lineage: Bacteria
Description: partial 16S ribosomal RNA
Rfam family: Bacterial small subunit ribosomal RNA
Source: RNAcentral